RNAcentral lists this ribosomal RNA (245 nucleotides) under uncultured bacterium. Its description in RNAcentral is "partial 16S ribosomal RNA". It matches the Rfam family "Bacterial small subunit ribosomal RNA", at positions 116 to 353 of the family's 1533-position model. The record is from RNAcentral.
CGUGGGUAACCGUGCCUUAGUAGUGGGGGAGUAGCCUUUCGAAAGGAAGAUUAAUACCGCAUAAGAUUGUAGUAUCGCAUGAUAUAGCAAUUAAAGGAGCAAUUCGCUAUAAGAUGGACCCGCGUCGCAUUAGCUAGUUGGUGAGGUAAUGGCUCACCAAGGCGACGAUGCGUAGCCGACCUGAGAGGGUGAUCGGCCCACAUUGGGACUGAGACACGGCCCAGACUCCUACGGGAGGCAGCAUG